Molecule: long non-coding RNA, 1325 nt
Organism: Eriocheir sinensis (Chinese mitten crab)
Lineage: Eukaryota; Metazoa; Arthropoda; Malacostraca; Decapoda; Varunidae
Exons: 2
Source: RefSeq, a predicted model, not a curated record
CUUAUUCUGUGGUCAUUCCCUUUCCAUACAUGACUGGGAAUAUGGAAAGCUAAAGUUGGAAUAGGAAUGGCAAUGCGUAAGUUGGUUAAUUUCAUGUUAAUAUUCCCUCAAAUCCACUGUGAGGGAAUGAGGAACAAGGAAUGAGUUAUCUUCUUUUCAUUCCCAUUCCGUAAGUUAACCGGGAAUUUGAAAAGCAAGGAAUGACUCACUUAUUCCUCUGUUAUCCAAUAUUCCUUUGAUGAGGAAGACUAGGAAUGAGUUAUCUUCUUUUCAUUCCCAUUCCGUAAGUUAACCGGGAAUUUGAAAAGCAAGGAAUGACUAACUUAAUUCUCUUGUUAUCGAUCAUUCACUUGUGCAUGCAUGAUAAGGGAUAAGGAAAGCAAGGAAUAAGUUAUCUACGUUUACUUAUUCUUUAUCCAUAAGUGACUGGGACCAAGGAAUGACUAAACUUAAUUCUCUCGUUGAUAAUAUUCCUAAGAGACAAAUGAGGCGGGAUGAGUUUGACGAGGAAUACAUUUGUUAAUUCCGAAACUCAAUCCAAACCUCAUUAUCACUAUUAUUAUUAUGAUUAUCCUAACUGCAUUUGCCUGUAUUAUCAGAAUGAAGCUAAAUAGUGGUCUGGCAAUGAUGUUUAUACCAUUAACCCAGUAGCUACGCGGCGAUCCUGUUUCUUGAAGGCUCCUGAAGGGAUUAGAUUGGACUCGCUAUGCAGGGAAAGGUCAAACAUAUGCUGUGGUUCUUCCCUCACUCACUUUUUAACACGAGGAGCAGAAAAUAAUGUGUCGUUAUUUUCUUUGGUCUGAGAAAGCAUUGUUAAAUAAGUGAAUAGGAAUGGAUUAGAUGAGAAGCUUUUAAUCCAGGGAAAGGUUAGAUAAAAGCUUAGAUUCUUACCUCAGGCUUUGAAUAUAAGAAACCAAAGGAAGAAGGCAAACUAACAUAACCGAAAGAUUAUAAUGUUAUUUUCCUUGGUCUGAGAAAGCAUUGUUAAAUAAGUGAAUAGAAAAGGAACAGAGGGAUUAGAAGGAAUUUGCAAUGCUGGUAAUGGUUAAAUAAAAGCUUGGAUUCUUCCCUCACACUCUUAACAUGAAAAUCCCAAAAUAAUAAGAUACGGAAGAUCAGCUAAAAUGAGCAGAAAGAUUAUUAAGGUGGUCUGUUUUGUUUGGUUUCCUACACAGUAUUAUUAGCAAGCGUUUUUUGAAGUGUUUGAUAAGUAAGUGAUUGUGUAUUGGACUUCAUUUUGUAGCAUUUAUAACCACAUUGAUUUUUUUGUUAUUUUGUAUGGCAUUCUGGAUAUGGCGCCAUGUUGAAAUAAAGGAAGAAUCAAU